This is a long non-coding RNA of Artibeus jamaicensis (Jamaican fruit-eating bat), 320 nucleotides long. RefSeq lists it as uncharacterized. The transcript is spliced from 4 exons. The record is from RefSeq and is a predicted model, not a curated record. NCBI's taxonomy places the organism in Eukaryota, Metazoa, Chordata, Mammalia, Chiroptera, Phyllostomidae.
CUGAUGCAAUUCCCACUUGCUGGCGGAAGUGAAGAACAGAAACAUUUGAGAGUUCACAGUCUAGAGAUUUAUCCACCGAAGGAAACAGAAACCUGAGGCAAGUUCUUCAGAACCUUGGUGAACUCACAGCCUGGUGUGGAAGAGGAGCCGCUGGGGAUUGUAGCGAAACCAAAGCAGAUCGGCAGCAGCUGAAUCAGUGAGGAAGGGAUUGCAGUCGAUGUAAUGCAAGAAGGAGCAUUACAUGGGACUCUCCACACCCGAUCAUAGCCAAAAGGCCGAGAAGCAAUACCUGGGACUCUACAGAUUAUAAUUCCUGGGAG